RNAcentral lists this ribosomal RNA (401 nucleotides) under uncultured bacterium. RNAcentral's name for it is "bacterial SSU rRNA". It matches the Rfam family "Bacterial small subunit ribosomal RNA", at positions 355 to 773 of the family's 1533-position model. The record is from RNAcentral.
UCGGGAAUUUUGGGCAAUGGGCGAAAGCCUGACCCAGCAACGCCGCGUGAGGGAUGAAGUAUUUCGGUAUGUAAACCUCGAAAGAAUGGGAAGAAUAAAUGACGGUACCAUUUAUAAGCUCCGGCUAACUACGUGCCAGCAGCCGCGGUAAUACGUAGGGAGCAAGCGUUGUUCGGAUUUACUGGGCGUAAAGGGCGCGUAGGCGGCGCGGUAAGUCACUCGUGAAAUCUCUGAGCUUAACUCAGAACGGCCAAGUGAUACUGCUGUGCUAGAGUGCGGAAGAGGCAACCGGAAUUCUUGGUGUAGCGGUGAAAUGCGUAGAUAUCAAGAGGAACACCUGAGGCGAAGGCGGGUUGCUGGGCCGACACUGACGCUGAUGCGCGAAAGCCAGGGGAGCAAAC